AGAGUUUGAUCCUGGCUCAGGAUGAACGCUAGCGGCAGGCUUAACACAUGCAAGUCGAGGGGCAUCGGGAGGGAAGCUUGCUUUCCUUGCCGGCGACCGGCGCACGGGUGAGUAACACGUAUGCAACCUGCCCUCUUCAGGGGGACAACCUUCCGAAAGGGAGGCUAAUCCCGCGUAUAUCGGUUUCGGGCAUCCGAGAUCGAGGAAAGAUUCAUCGGAAGAGGAUGGGCAUGCGGCGCAUUAGCUUGACGGCGGGGUAACGGCCCACCGUGGCGACGAUGCGUAGGGGUUCUGAGAGGAAGGUCCCCCACACUGGUACUGAGACACGGACCAGACUCCUACGGGAGGCAGCAGUGAGGAAUAUUGGUCAAUGGGAGAGGUCCUGAACCAGCCAAGCCGCGUGAGGGAAGACGGCCCUAUGGGUUGUAAACCUCUUUUGUCGGAGAACAAAACCCGGGACGUGUCCCGGACUGCGUGUAUCCGAAGAAAAAGCAUCGGCUAACUCCGUG
RNAcentral lists this ribosomal RNA (509 nucleotides) under uncultured Bacteroidales bacterium. Its description in RNAcentral is "bacterial SSU rRNA". It matches the Rfam family "Bacterial small subunit ribosomal RNA", at positions 8 to 507 of the family's 1533-position model. Lineage: Bacteria; Pseudomonadati; Bacteroidota; Bacteroidia; Bacteroidales. The record is from RNAcentral.